RNAcentral lists this long non-coding RNA (1312 nucleotides) under Carassius auratus (goldfish). RNAcentral's name for it is "lncRNA (ENSCARG00000066479.1)". The record is from RNAcentral. Lineage: Eukaryota; Metazoa; Chordata; Actinopteri; Cypriniformes; Cyprinidae.
AAAUCACCACCACAGGUACCACAACGGCUGAGACCACAACAGACACUACAACACCAGAAAGUACCACUACAGGUACCACAACACCCGAGACUACAAGAGACACUACAACGAUUGAAAGCACCACUACAGGGUCAACAACAGCCGAAACCACAACAGACACUACGACAACAGAAAGCACCACAACAGGUACCACAACAACAGAAAGCACCACAACCGAGACCACAGCAGACACAACAAACACCAGAAAGUACCACUACAGGUACCACAACAGUUGACACAACAAUAGAUACUACAACAACAGAAAGCACCACGACCGAGGCCACUACAGACACUACAACACCAGAAAGCACAACUACUGGUGCCACAACUGUCGAGACUACAACAAUAGAAAGCACCACCACAGGUAAAACAACAACAGAAAGCAGCACAACUGAGACCACAACAGACACCACAACACCAGAAAGCACUAAUACUGGUAUCACAACAACAGAAAGCACCACAACCGAGACCACAACAGACACUACAACACCAGAAAGCACCACUACAGGUACUACAACAACAGAAAGCAGAACAACAGAGACCACAACAGACACAACAACACCAGAAAGUACCACUACAGGUACAACAACACCCGAGACUACAACAGACACUACAACGAUUGAAAGCACCAAUACAGGUUCAUCAACAGCCGAAACCACAACAGACACUACGACAACAGAAAGCACCACCACAGGUACCACAACAACAGAAAGCACCACAACCGAGACCACAGCAGACACUACAACACCAGAUAGCACCACUACAGGUUCAACAACAGCCGAAACCACAACAGACACUACGACAACAGAAAGCACCACUACAGGUACCACACAACAGAAAGCACCACAACCGAGACCACAGCAGACACUACAACACCAGAAAGCACCACUACAGAUACUACAACACACAGAAAGCACAACAACAGAGACCACAACAGACACAACAACACCAGAAAGUACCACUACAGGUACACAACAGUUGACACAACAAUAGAUACUACAACAACAGAAAGCACCACGACCGAUGCCACUACAGACACUACAACACCAGAAAGCACCUUACUGGGGCCACAACUGUCGAAAGUAACACAGAACUACAACAGAUGAAAGCACCACCACAGGUAAAACAACAACAGAAAGCAGCACAACUGAGACCACAACAGACACAACAACACCAGAAAGCACUACUACUGGUAUUCACAACAACAGAAAGGCACCACAACCGAGACCACAACAGACACUACAACACCAGAAAGCACCACUACAGGUACUAC